Long non-coding RNA from Hevea brasiliensis (rubber tree), 677 nucleotides. RefSeq lists it as uncharacterized. The transcript is spliced from 4 exons. The record is from RefSeq and is a predicted model, not a curated record. Lineage: Eukaryota; Viridiplantae; Streptophyta; Magnoliopsida; Malpighiales; Euphorbiaceae.
AUCUGGACCCUUUUCGAUAUCUCCUUGUCUAGCUUCAAAAGUCGAACAAAAUUAGACUGGGAAACUGGGAAAUAGAUGUUUUAUCAAAGAAGCAACUAGAUUAUGCUGCCACGGAUGCUUUUGCUUCUUGACAGCUUACCAGGUGUUGAAGAGUCACCCAGAUGCAAAGCAUGCAACUGCUGAAAGAAGUGAGGAGCUGAAAGUUGUGCCAAAACAAUGAGAAUUUUAUUGGACAACCAUCCAUAACAAGUUGGGCCUAGGAGGUGGGAAGAAAUUGGCCAGAAUAUAGAAAAGUAGAAGAACGUAGUGACAUACGAAUGGGGCAUAGUGUUGGUUAUGUUCUAUUUUCUUUACUACUGAGAUAUGCCAAUAAAUUAUUUUGCAAAGGCCAAAUCUGUGGAAAUGUGCGAGUGAUGGGUCUUAAUCAAGAUCCAAAAUGGACCUCCGAAUUUCUCGGUUGCGAUCAAGAGAAAACCAACAUCCCACCUGCCUAGAACAUGGUCAGAGAGACAAAGGGGUUAUGUCCAUUUCUCUUGUUGGCUUUUGCAAUGCUGAAAAGCUCAUAAAAAUCCAACGUGUUUAGUUCGCGUGCCAACAUUUUAGCUGUAAAAUGGAUUUCAUUCUUUUUCUUUAGAUUGAUUUCGUACUCUUUUGUUGUGCCCUCCUUUUUUUUUUUU